Molecule: ribosomal RNA, 765 nt
Filed under: uncultured Streptococcus sp.
Lineage: Bacteria; Bacillati; Bacillota; Bacilli; Lactobacillales; Streptococcaceae
Description: bacterial SSU rRNA
Rfam family: Bacterial small subunit ribosomal RNA
Source: RNAcentral
GACGAACGCUGGCGGCGUGCCUAAUACAUGCAAGUAGAACGCUGAAGAGAGGAGCUUGCUCUUCUUGGAAGAGUUGCGAACGGGUGAGUAACGCGUAGGUAACCUGCCUUGUAGCGGGGGAUAACUAUUGGAAACGAUAGCUAAUACCGCAUAACAAUGGGUGACCCAUGUCAUUCAUUUGAAAGGGGCAACUGCUCCACUACAAGAUGGACCUGCGUUGUAUUAGCUAGUAGGUGAGGUAACGGCUCACCUAGGCGACGAUACAUAGCCGACCUGAGAGGGUGAUCGGCCACACUGGGACUGAGACACGGCCCAGACUCCUACGGGAGGCAGCAGUAGGGAAUCUUCGGCAAUGGGGGCAACCCUGACCGAGCAACGCCGCGUGAGUGAAGAAGGUUUUCGGAUCGUAAAGCUCUGUUGUAAGUCAAGAACGAGUGUGAGAGUGGAAAGUUCACACUGUGACGGUAGCUUACCAGAAAGGGACGGCUAACUACGUGCCAGCAGCCGCGGUAAUACGUAGGUCCCGAGCGUUGUCCGGAUUUACUGGGCGUAAAGCGAGCGCAGGCGGUUUGAUAAGUCUGAAGUUAAAGGCUGUGGCUCAACCAUAGUUCGCUUUGGAAACUGUCAAACUUGAGUGCAGAAGGGGAGAGUGGAAUUCCAUGUGUAGCGGUGAAAUGCGUAGAUAUAUGGAGGAACACCGGUGGCGAAAGCGGCUCUCUGGUCUGUAACUGACGCUGAGGCUCGAAAGCGUGGGGAGCGAACAGG